GUCGCAAGGCUGAAACUCAAAGGAAUUGACGGGGGCCCGCACAAGCGGUGGAGCAUGUGGUUCAAUUCGACGCAACGCGAAGAACCUUACCUGGGCUCGAACGGCAUUUCAACGUUCAUGGAAACAUGGAUAUCCCGCAAGGGAGUAUUGUCGAGGUGCUGCAUGGCUGUCGUCAGCUCGUGUCGUGAGAUGUUGGGUUAAGUCCCGCAACGAGCGCAACCCUUGCCCUGUUUUGCCAUCAUUAAGUUGGGAACUAUCAGGGGACCGCCAGCGAUAAGUUGGAGGAAGGUGGGGAUGACGUCAAGUCAUCAUGGCCUUUAUGUCCAGGGCUACACACGUGCUACAAUGGACGGUACAAAGCGCUGCGAAGCCGCGAGGUGGAGCUAAUCGCAAAAAACCGUUCUCAGUUCGGAUCGCAGGCUGCAACUCGCCUGCGUGAAGCUGGAAUCGCUAGUAAUGGCAGAUCAGCAUGCUGCCGUGAAUACGUUCCCGGGCCUUGUACACACCGCCCGUCACAUCACGAAAGUGGGUUGUACUAGAAGUCUGUGCGCUAACCAGCAAUGGAGGCCACGGCCCAAGGUAUGACUCAUGAUUGGGGUG
This 600-nucleotide ribosomal RNA is filed under the name uncultured bacterium. RNAcentral describes it as "bacterial SSU rRNA". It matches the Rfam family "Bacterial small subunit ribosomal RNA", at positions 885 to 1482 of the family's 1533-position model. The record is from RNAcentral.